GCGCCCGUGGCUCAGUAGGAUAGAGCACCAGAUUCCUAAUCUGGGUGUCGCAGGUUCGAAUCCUGCCGGGCGCACCA
Molecule: transfer RNA, 77 nt
Filed under: Candidatus Electrothrix aarhusensis
Lineage: Bacteria; Pseudomonadati; Thermodesulfobacteriota; Desulfobulbia; Desulfobulbales; Desulfobulbaceae
Also listed under: 9 other names
Description: Candidatus Electrothrix aarhusiensis tRNA-Arg
Rfam family: tRNA
About the family: Transfer RNA (tRNA) molecules are approximately 80 nucleotides in length. Their secondary structure includes four short double-helical elements and three loops (D, anti-codon, and T loops).
Source: RNAcentral